This 459-nucleotide ribosomal RNA is filed under the name uncultured bacterium. Its description in RNAcentral is "partial 16S ribosomal RNA". It matches the Rfam family "Bacterial small subunit ribosomal RNA", at positions 338 to 795 of the family's 1533-position model. The record is from RNAcentral.
CCUACGGGUGGCAGCAGUGAGGAAUCUUUGUCAAUGGGCGCGAGCCUGAACCAGCCACGUCGCGUGAGGGAAGACGGUCCUAUGGAUUGUAAACCUCUUUUGUCGGGGAGCCAAAGACGCCACGCGUGGCGUUCCGAGAGUACCCGAAGAACAAGCAUCGGCUAACUCCGUGCCAGCAGCCGCGGUAAUACGUAGGAUGCGAGCGUUAUCCGGAUUUAUUGGGUUUAAAGGGUGGGCAGGCGGAAGAUCAAGUCAGCGGUAAAAUUGAGAGGCUCAACCUCUUCGAGCCGGUGAAACUGGUUUGCUUGAGUGAGCGAGAGGGAUGCGGAAUGCGUGGUGUAGCGGUGAAAUGCAUAGAUAUCACGAAGAACUCUGGUGGCGAAGGCAGCAUACCGGCGCUCAACUGACGCUCAUGCACGAAAGUGUGGGUAUCGAACAGGAUGAGAUACCCUAGUAGUC